UGGAGGGUUCUAGAAGGCGUGACGUGGGGUCGAGAGCGGGAUCGGAGGCUGGCGCCUUUCGGCAGUCGCUGUGGGUGCAGCUGCCGGGCCUCGGGACGCGGGCGGCCGAGGCCGCCGUCGCAGCCUCCUAGUCUCGCCGGCUAUGGCUACGCUCGGCCGGCCCUUUAGCGGCCUCCCUCUGAGCGGCAGCUCGGACUUCCUACAGCCGCCGCAGCCGGCCUUCCCCGACCUGGCCUUCCCGCCAGGGGCUGACGGCGCAGACUUGGCCCCGCGAUCGGGACCCCGCGGAGUCCCUAGCAGCCCCACCGGGAGUGCGGCGCGCGGACGUGUUUCUGUUCACUGUAAAAAGAAACACAAGCGAGAGGAGGAGGAUGAUGAUUGUCCAGUAAGAAAGAAAAGGAUAACUGAAGCAGAGCUCUGUGCUGGUCCUAAUGACUGGAUUCUUUGUGCACAUCAGGAUGUAGAGGGGCAUGGAGUAAAUCCCUGCAUUAGUGGCCUUUCCGUACCUGGGAUAUUAGAUGUUAUUUGUGAAGAAAUGGAUCAGACAACUGGAGAACCACAGUGUGAAGUUGCCCGAAGGAAGCUUCAAGAGAUUGAGGACAGGAUAAUUGAUGAAGAUGAAGAAGUUGAAGCUGACAGAAAUGUUAACCAUCUCCCCAGUCUUGUCCUUUCUGAUACCAUGAAAACAGGUUUGAAGAGGGAAUUUGAUGAAGUUUUUACAAAGAAAAUGAUUGAGUCUAUGAGCCGUCCUUCCAUGGAGCUUGUUCUCUGGAAACCCCUCCCU
This is an RNA transcript of Piliocolobus tephrosceles (Ugandan red Colobus), 784 nucleotides long. It is a transcript of the gene named coiled-coil domain-containing protein 117 pseudogene, with no coding region annotated. The record is from RefSeq and is a predicted model, not a curated record. NCBI's taxonomy places the organism in Eukaryota, Metazoa, Chordata, Mammalia, Primates, Cercopithecidae. The transcript has a single exon.